This 668-nucleotide ribosomal RNA is filed under the name uncultured bacterium. RNAcentral describes it as "bacterial SSU rRNA". It matches the Rfam family "Bacterial small subunit ribosomal RNA", at positions 88 to 752 of the family's 1533-position model. The record is from RNAcentral.
GUGACGAGCGGCGGACGGGUGAGUAAUGUCUGGGAAACUGCCUGAUGGAGGGGGAUAACUACUGGAAACGGUAGCUAAUACCGCAUAACGUCGCAAGACCAAAGAGGGGGACCUUCGGGCCUCUUGCCAUCAGAUGUGCCCAGAUGGGAUUAGCUAGUAGGUGGGGUAACGGCUCACCUAGGCGACGAUCCCUAGCUGGUCUGAGAGGAUGACCAGCCACACUGGAACUGAGACACGGUCCAGACUCCUACGGGAGGCAGCAGUGGGGAAUAUUGCACAAUGGGCGCAAGCCUGAUGCAGCCAUGCCGCGUGUAUGAAGAAGGCCUUCGGGUUGUAAAGUACUUUCAGCGGGGAGGAAGGCGAUGAGGUUAAUAACCUCGUCGAUUGACGUUACCCGCAGAAGAAGCACCGGCUAACUCCGUGCCAGCAGCCGCGGUAAUACGGAGGGUGCAAGCGUUAAUCGGAAUUACUGGGCGUAAAGCGCACGCAGGCGGUCUGUCAAGUCGGAUGUGAAAUCCCCGGGCUCAACCUGGGAACUGCAUUCGAAACUGGCAGGCUAGAGUCUUGUAGAGGGGGGUAGAAUUCCAGGUGUAGCGGUGAAAUGCGUAGAGAUCUGGAGGAAUACCGGUGGCGAAGGCGGCCCCCUGGACAAAGACUGACGCUCAGGU